Coregonus clupeaformis (lake whitefish) is the source of this 673-nucleotide long non-coding RNA. RefSeq lists it as uncharacterized. Lineage: Eukaryota; Metazoa; Chordata; Actinopteri; Salmoniformes; Salmonidae. The transcript has 8 exons. The record is from RefSeq and is a predicted model, not a curated record.
CCAGGUUGUCCCACACUAUAUAAACGAACAGACGGCGCGUUUCUAUCUCUUCAUUUCAAGCUAAAGAAUUCAAAAGGUGGACUUCAACAGGCAUACGAUGAACCCUACCCAACCCAAUAUGGCUGCAUUGCUACUGAAGCACAGGCAUCUUCUGAGCAGACGGUGGAUGAUGAACAAAUGGAUAUGGCUUACAACCUCACUGAGAUGGCUUGAGAAUUAACCACUUGACAUUCUGAAGUUCUCGUACCAACUGAAAUGGCAGAUGUGAUGACCCAAUCACCUUGGGACUGAACAGCUGGUAUGGCGGUAUAGGUGUGCCUCAACACUCUAGAUGAAAUGGCCCAUCCAGGUCCCUGAUGGGACUGGCCAUCUGUCUUGCAACUGCCUCUGGGUGAAAUGACUGUUGGCAUUGACAAAUUCCACUUUCACAUUUAUGUACUCUUACUCAGGGUUUUAAGGUCUUGCGACAAGAUGGUUGGCGUGAAGGUGGUUGAGGCCAGUCUGUUUCUCUUGCCAGCUACUUGUUGCCUUCUGGGAUAAUCAGGACAUUGGUAGAUGCAGUCUACCACGGCACACGUAGUAAUUUAUUAAGCCCUUUUACAGAAUUUUUGUAACAAAGGUUGUACAUCUUCUAACCCUGAAAUGUAUAAAGAACUUCACUUAAUGAACUAAA